Molecule: long non-coding RNA, 484 nt
Organism: Nicotiana tabacum (common tobacco)
Lineage: Eukaryota; Viridiplantae; Streptophyta; Magnoliopsida; Solanales; Solanaceae
Source: RefSeq, a predicted model, not a curated record
UUGAUUUUUAUGCGGUCAUCAUAUCAUGUGAACGAUAAUUAGUAAUGGCUCAGAAUUAGUUUGCAUUCUAUUCGUUUUUAUUUCUUACUUUUGUAGGUUUUAUGAUUUUACUCUAAUCGGGCUAGCAUGUCCCACUUUCGCAACUAAAUAUCUCUCUGUUACUUCUUUCUCUUGGCUGCCAAGAAAAAAGGGCAGCCUUGGUGCACUAAGCUCCUAUGUGCGGGGUCCGGGGAAGAGCUGGACCAGAAGGGUCUAAUGUACGCGGCCUUACUCAAUAUUUCUGUAAGAGGUUGUUUUCACGGCUUGAGCCCGUGACUUUCGGAGAUGAACAACACCAUUUGCGGACGCAAUCCAGUUAGCACUUUAUUCCAUGUAACUCUCUUUUUUUGACAAAUUAUUUUUUCUGAAAGAAGGUGUUGCCUUCCCUUUGUGGUUGUACAUUAAAGUUAUUUUCAUGAUCAGGUAUGUUUCAGCUUUUCGGGCU